AUUGAACGCUGGCGGCAGGCCUAACACAUGCAAGUCGAGCGGAUGACGGGAGCUUGCUCCUUGAUUCAGCGGCGGACGGGUGAGUAAUGCCUAGGAAUCUGCCUGGUAGUGGGGGACAACGUUUCGAAAGGAACGCUAAUACCGCAUACGUCCUACGGGAGAAAGCAGGGGACCUUCGGGCCUUGCGCUAUCAGAUGAGCCUAGGUCGGAUUAGCUAGUUGGUGGGGUAAUGGCUCACCAAGGCGACGAUCCGUAACUGGUCUGAGAGAGUGAUCAGUCACACUGGAACUGAGACGCGGUCCAGAGUCCUACGGGAGGCAGCAGUGGGGAAUAUUGGACAAUGGGCGAAAGCCUGAUCCAGCCAUGCCGCGUGUGUGAAGAAGGUCUUCGGAUUGUAAAGCACUUUAAGUUGGGAGGAGGGGCAGUAAGUUAAUACCUUGCUGUUUUGACGUUACCGACAGAAUAAGCACCGGCUAACUCUGUGCCAGCCGCCGCCGUAA
This 500-nucleotide ribosomal RNA is filed under the name uncultured bacterium. RNAcentral describes it as "partial 16S ribosomal RNA". It matches the Rfam family "Bacterial small subunit ribosomal RNA", at positions 30 to 523 of the family's 1533-position model. The record is from RNAcentral.